RNAcentral lists this long non-coding RNA (2158 nucleotides) under Pan troglodytes (chimpanzee). RNAcentral's name for it is "long non-coding RNA NONPTRT003114". The record is from RNAcentral. Lineage: Eukaryota; Metazoa; Chordata; Mammalia; Primates; Hominidae.
CAAGGAGGGUGUAGACAUUACAGCUACAGCUUUGUGUAUUACCCUUGCCCUUCUGGUGGUGAGGGGGUGAUAAAUGGCACAGACAUCACUAGAGAGAGGGGACUGGAGGAGAUCGGCUGUGUUGAUGAUGGCAAAGUGUAGGAAGGAUCGAAGAGGUAACAGUUGUACAUUAAUUUUGUUGUGCUACUUUGGGCGUCUGCCUCCAAUUUGCCUUUUUUUUGAGACUGUUACUGUGUCACCCAGGCUGGUGUGCAGUAGUGCAGUCUAGGCUCCACGUAACCUUAGCCUGUUGGGCUUAAGUGAUCCUCCUGCCUUAGCCUCCUGAGUAGUUGGAAUCACAGGCGCACACUACUACACCUGGCUAAUUAUUUGUGGAGGCGGAGUUUCUCUGUGUUGCCCAGGCUGGUCUUAAACUCCUGGACUCAAGUGAUCCUCCCACCUCCGCCUCCCAAAGUGCUGUGAUUACAAGUGUGAGCCAAUACACAUUUUCUGGUCUCCAGUUUACAUUGUAAUUGCUACUCUAAAUGGAAAAAGUAUGCUGAAGAGCCUAGACACUAUACCUCCACUAGAAAUCCUAAGGAGAGAGAGCGGCUGAAAACCUAGCGAAGGUUGGCUCACUGGUGCCAGCCGCAGGAUGUCGGAGAUGCUGAACAUCAUGUCAAGUGUGGGGAUCUCAGGAACGCAGGCCUGCAGAGCCAGGCUGAUGGCUGACCAACUCCUGACCCAGAAUCCAAUACUAAAGCAAAUAGUCUUGUAGGAAUGCUGCCUGUGGUCUCCUUGGGAAGGAAAAGCAGGCAAGAACAAAGCAGGGGAUCCCCUGUGGCAGCUGAGCUCUCCCUUGCCUUUCUUACCGGGAGGGCACUCCCACAGCUUCCCAGCUGGAGUGCUGCAGCCAGCUGGCCUGCAGACAGCAAACCAAGUCCCAGGGCUGCUGAGGGUGGUGUUUGGCUAGCACGAGCUCCUGCAUGCCACCCAUGCAGAACAUUUGGGAAGUACUGUCCUGACAGCAGAGCAAGAGGCCAGGCUUUGUUCCACAGUGAUCCUGGGGGUCUGGCGAGGACUAGGGCUGUGAGCAGGGGUUCUCAUGGCCAGGUGGGUCAGGAGCCACCCUGCAUAGGGUUAUGCCUCCCGUGAGCACUUCUACACUCUGUCUAGGCCCUGGUGAUGUCCACAGACCAAAAGCCACAUUCAGUUAGGAUUCCCUAAGGGAUCAAAUCCAUUCUCUCGGCUCUGCUGUUCAAGGACUUGAGCCUUCUAUUGUAAAACAUAAACCAUGUUAUCCAAACCUUUUGCAGGUAAUAUCUUGUUGCUGGAAGGCCGAGAGAAUUCUGAAAAACAGAAACUGAUGCUCAUUGAUUUCGAAUACAGCAGUUACAAUUACAGGGGAUUCGACAUUGGAAAUCACUUCUGUGAGUGGAUGUAUGAUUAUAGCUAUGAAAAAUACCCUUUUUUCAGAGCAAACAUCCGGAAGUAUCCCACCAAGAAACAACAGCUCCAUUUUAUUUCCAGUUACUUGCCUGCAUUCCAAAAUGACUUUGAAAACCUCAGUACUGAAGAAAAAUCCAUUAUAAAAGAAGAAAUGUUGCUUGAAGUUAAUAGGUUUGCCCUUGCAUCUCAUUUCCUCUGGGGACUGUGGUCCAUUGUACAAGCCAAGAUUUCAUCUAUUGAAUUUGGGUACAUGUACCUGAAUGUGGUGACCUGGUGGCAUCAGGACAGUGUGGCUCAGCCCAGGAAGCCGGGGGAGAAGCCGCUGUCACUGAUGCUGUGGUUGCCUUUGGAGGUUGCCCUCACUUCCAGGCCAGCUGACCUUGCCUCCCCUGCUUCAGAGAAGUGCCUGCAAUCCUGAUGGGGAAUGUAGGCAUCUGCACCCUCGAAGUCCAGCUCUGACCUCAGUCCCUUCUGACACGGGACAGUAAGUGAAGAAGAGUGGGUGGCUCCUGCCUGUGCUGUGGAAGGUUUUAUUUAUCGGUUACCACUUCAUUCUCCAGCCUGUAGUGCCCGACUUUGGGUUGGAAGCUGGUAAUUAUUGAAUUAGACCUCCUGUUUUUCAUAGGCAUGUUUGUAACCAAGCUAGGCUGUCAUUUAAUUUUAACCUUAAGAAUUGUCAGCCGGGUACGGUGGCUCACGCCUGUAAUCCCAGCACUUCGGGAGGCUGAGG